This 253-nucleotide ribosomal RNA is filed under the name uncultured bacterium. Its description in RNAcentral is "partial 16S ribosomal RNA". It matches the Rfam family "Bacterial small subunit ribosomal RNA", at positions 524 to 776 of the family's 1533-position model. The record is from RNAcentral.
UACGUAGGCAGCAAGCGUUGUUCGGAAUUACUGGGCGUAAAGAGUGUGUAGGCGGUGCUCCAAGUCUGGUGUGAAAUCUCCCGGCUUAACUGGGAGGGUGCAUUAGAAACUGGAAUGCUAGAGGAUGGGAGAGGUAAGCGGAAUUCCUGGUGUAGCGGUGAAAUGCGUAGAUAUCAGGAGGAACACCAACGGCGAAGGCAGCUCGCUGGGACGGUACUGACGCUGAGGCGCGAAAGCGUGGGGAGCGAACAGG